AUUUGUGCACCCUCCUUUUCUUAUAUUUCUUGCACGCCCAAAAGGCUUCUCAAAUCAUCAUAUGGAACUUCAUUAGAGGCACCCCCUUUAUCCUUAAUAAUUAGGGAUUACUUAGGGUUAAUUAGGAGUCCUAUCUAGAGAAGGACUCCUUUUAUUGCCGCCUCCUUAAGUUUGGCGCCAUUUUUUCUCCACACCAUAAUUUUCCACAGUAA
Molecule: long non-coding RNA, 212 nt
Filed under: Elaeis guineensis (African oil palm)
Lineage: Eukaryota; Viridiplantae; Streptophyta; Magnoliopsida; Arecales; Arecaceae
Description: long non-coding RNA (EGUI_LNC076188)
Source: RNAcentral